This 447-nucleotide ribosomal RNA is filed under the name uncultured bacterium. Its description in RNAcentral is "bacterial SSU rRNA". It matches the Rfam family "Bacterial small subunit ribosomal RNA", at positions 70 to 507 of the family's 1533-position model. The record is from RNAcentral.
AAACGAUCCUAGCUUGCUAGGAGGCGUCGAGCGGCGGACGGGUGAGUAACGCGUGAGAAUCUACCCAUGAGUGGGGGACAACCCGGGGGAAACUCGGGCUAAUACCGCAUACGCCCUACGGGGUAAAGCAGGGGACCUUCGGGCCUUGCGCUGAUGGAUGAGCUCGCGUCGGAUUAGCUUGUUGGUGAGGUAAAGGCUCACCAAGGCGACGAUCCGUAGCUGGUCUGAGAGGAUGAUCAGCCACACCGGGACUGAGACACGGCCCGGACUCCUACGGGAGGCAGCAGUGGGGAAUCUUGGACAAUGGGGGCAACCCUGAUCCAGCCAUGCCGCGUGUGUGAAGAAGGCCUUCGGGUUGUAAAGCACUUUCAGCAGGGAGGAAGGCUUACCCCUAAUACGGGUGAGUACUUGACGUUACCUGCAGAAGAAGCACCGGCUAAUUUCGUG